GUGGCUGCAACGCAGCUGAAUAUAUUGUAUUCAAAUCACCUUCACAAUAAACGGCCGCCUUCUACUGAUUCUUGAUACAAAUCUUCUAAGCUUGGCAAUAACGAAGUUAAGGCAGGCCUUAGUUGUAGGCCCUAUCGUCGCUUUGAGGAAAGCCCAGAUCGUGGGGCCUAUUAUGCUUCAUUUCUAAUCCUUCUCAUAAUUAGGUUUUAAUUUGCUGGUACUUGUCAUGGCCAGAUUAUUAAACCCUGUCAAUAACUCCCUCAUGCAAAUGUCUCCGGUACCGUCAAAGUUGAAUCAAGUUACUCAUACUUCUCGCUCCUUCGGCCUUUUCUACGGAGAAGACCCUUUGAAUUUCAAGUUUAACCUCGUAUUGCUUGAUCUUUCUUUGAUCAUCUUAAUAAGUAAGAUGAUUCGCAUUCUUCUCAAGCCUCAAACAGCCAAGGGACGUCUGCGAAAUCAUGCCGGAACAAGGAGUUAACGAAGCAGCUGUUACUAGAUAAUGCCCGAUUUGUGGUGGCGAAUCUUAUUGGAGCUAUUGGUUUUGCACAUUUCUUAUCUUUGACUUCAGUGGAACGGUUUUCAGUGUAUUUAGAAAAGAAGGGAAGAAACAAGUCUUCACUGAUCUUUCUUCCCUUUAUAGUAGUGUGUAUAGGUGCACACUAUUUUCAAAUAUCAAUUCAUGGGAAGCUUGCAAAACCUGUUUUAUCUGGAGGGGUUGCCGCAAGUAUAUCUAUAACUGCAUUUCCUGUGAUUUAUCUUGUCCUUAAAGAGUGACAACUACUCGCCUCCGAGGUCGGACGAAUGGGGCAUUGACCCCAGCAUUGGUGAACGAUGUAACAGGGAUUAUUGUUAUUAUUGCAUUUGAAACCUUUAGACAAGGUCAAAGUAGUGCUAUCAGUGUUUUGUGGUUGGUGAUUUCGGUGAUAAUUCUAGUGGCCUAUGGGAUUGUUUUCACCCGGAGAGCACUGAUUUGGAUUGUUGAAAACACCCCAGAAGAGAAACCUGUAAAUCAAUCAUGAAGUUUCCAUUCAGUAAGAGUCUCACUCUCGGUCUCAUGAUGAACUUGAGAGUCACAUAUGAGCUUAUGGUAUUUAUAGAAUGGCUGAACAAAAGGGUAAUUCUCUAUGCUCAUGUUUUUUCUCUUCUACAUUCUCUUGAAAAUGUGCUUACUUUUUGGAAAUUGUGAAGGAAAAGAAUAAAAAGAAUUCAAGUUCGCUAGAUAUUGGUUGCUAGCAACUUGCUUUCUAUAUGAACCACUGGAUCUUAUAGAAUAAUGCAUCCAUUCAUUUUUGCAGUGUUUCAAAGCUAACAAGGGGAGUACACUGGUAGGCUUUGUUGAUUAGGAUGUGUGUUUUGGCCUCUUCAAGAUUAUAAAAAAGCUUUCAAGGUUGUAAAAAAGCUUUUGUUUUGUUUGGGUAGGAGUACAAAAUACAGGUUGUGAGGGGUAUGUUCCUUGUCUUGUUCGGGAAAGAAAUGGGAGAGAAACAAGAUCUGCAGCAACAUAACCAAUUCUUUUCAGGGCUUUUGGAGGAAUAAGAUCAACAAUGUCGUCUGGCCCCCUUUUUUUCUCUCUUUCCGGGACUAAUAAACCUGUCGGAAUUCUUGUCGACAAGGGUCACACUAAUGACUCUGCUGCUAUGCAAUAUUACAGUCGGCGCUUCGUUAACAAAUAUGUUGGCUUCUCAUGAGGUGCUUGCCUAUGCGGACAGGAUGGUCGCUAAUCGUGAAGUCUCUCUAACAGUAAUAAAGUUUCUUUCAUGUAAUAAUGUUGGAGAUAGUGUGAUGGAGUAGGCACUUGAUAAGUGGGUGGUGACAUCUUUUUGUGUGAAGAAUGUAAGAAACUGGAAUGUUGUUUAUGUAGAAAAUCUUAAUUAAUUGCAAUUUUUUAGGUUAAAUUUAA
Molecule: long non-coding RNA, 1900 nt
Organism: Populus trichocarpa (black cottonwood)
Lineage: Eukaryota; Viridiplantae; Streptophyta; Magnoliopsida; Malpighiales; Salicaceae
Exons: 2
Source: RefSeq, a predicted model, not a curated record